Molecule: unclassified non-coding RNA, 334 nt
Filed under: soil metagenome
Description: partial contains 5.8S ribosomal RNA, internal transcribed spacer 2, and large subunit ribosomal RNA
Rfam family: 5.8S ribosomal RNA (bases 1-120)
Source: RNAcentral
GAUGAAGAACGUAGCGAAAUGCGAUAAGUAAUGUGAAUUGCAGAAUUCAGUGAAUCAUCGAAUCUUUGAACGCACAUUGCGCCCGCCAGUAUUCUGGCGGGCAUGCCUGUUCGAGCGUCAUUUCAACCAUCAAGCCCUGCUUGCGUUGGGGUCCUGCGGCUGCCCGCAGGCCCUGAAAACCAGUGGCGGGCUCGCUAGUCACACCGAGCGCAGUAAUACAUCUCGCUUUGGGCGUGCGGCGGGUUCUUGCCGUUAAACACCCCCUUUUUACCAAGGUUGACCUCGGGUCAGGUAGGAAUACCCGCUGAACUUAAGCAUAUCAAUAAGCGGAGGA